UGGGUAGUCCGCACGAGCGCACCCCUAUCCUUUAUUUGCCAGCACGUAAUGGUGGGAACUCUAGGGAGACUGCCGGUGAUAAACCGGAGGAAGGUGGGGACGACGUCAAGUCAUCAUGACCCUUACGAGUAGGGCUACACACGUGCUACAAUGGCGUAUACAGAGGGUUGCAAAGCCGCGAGGUGGAGCUAAUCUCACAAAGUACGUCGUAGUCCGGAUCGGAGUCUGCAACUCGACUCCGUGAAGUCGGAAUCGCUAGUAAUCGUGGAUCAGAAUGCCACGGUGAAUACGUUCCCGGGCCUUGUACACACCGCCCGUCACACCAUGGGAGUGGGCUGCAAAAGGAGUGGGUAGUUUAACCUUCGGGAGAACGCUCACCACUUUGUGGUUCAUGACUGGGGUGAAGUCGUAACAAGGUAGCCCUAGGGGAACCUGGGGCUGGAUCACCUCCUU
Molecule: ribosomal RNA, 453 nt
Filed under: uncultured Shewanellaceae bacterium
Lineage: Bacteria; Pseudomonadati; Pseudomonadota; Gammaproteobacteria; Alteromonadales; Shewanellaceae
Description: bacterial SSU rRNA
Rfam family: Bacterial small subunit ribosomal RNA
Source: RNAcentral